This 253-nucleotide ribosomal RNA is filed under the name uncultured Eubacteriales bacterium. RNAcentral describes it as "uncultured Clostridiales bacterium partial 16S ribosomal RNA". It matches the Rfam family "Bacterial small subunit ribosomal RNA", at positions 524 to 776 of the family's 1533-position model. Lineage: Bacteria; Bacillati; Bacillota; Clostridia; Eubacteriales. The record is from RNAcentral.
UACGUAGGGAGCAAGCGUUAUCCGGAAUUAUUGGGUGUAAAGGGUGCGUAGACGGGAUAACAAGUUGGUUGUGAAACCCCUCGGCUCAACUGAGGAACUGCAACCAAAACUAUUAUUCUUGAGUGCAGGAGAGGAAAGUGGAAUUCCUAGUGUAGCGGUGAAAUGCGUAGAUAUUACACAGAACACCGAUUGCGAAGGCAGCUUGCUAGGCCGGAUCUGACACUGAUGCACGAAAGCGUGGGGAUCGAACAGG